This 1042-nucleotide ribosomal RNA is filed under the name uncultured Sphingomonas sp. RNAcentral describes it as "bacterial SSU rRNA". It matches the Rfam family "Bacterial small subunit ribosomal RNA", at positions 336 to 1392 of the family's 1533-position model. Lineage: Bacteria; Pseudomonadati; Pseudomonadota; Alphaproteobacteria; Sphingomonadales; Sphingomonadaceae. The record is from RNAcentral.
CUCCUACGGGAGGCAGCAGUGGGGAAUAUUGGACAAUGGGCGAAAGCCUGAUCCAGCAAUGCCGCGUGAGUGAUGAAGGCCUUAGGGUUGUAAAGCUCUUUUACCCGGGAUGAUAAUGACAGUACCGGGAGAAUAAGCUCCUUGCUAACUCCGUGCCAGCAGCCGCGGUAAUACGGAGGGAGCUAGCGUUAUUCGGAAUUACUGGGCGUAAAGCGCACGUAGGCGGCUUUGUAAGUAAGAGGUGAAAGCCCAGAGCUCAACUCUGGAAUUGCCUUUUAGACUGCAUCGCUUGAAUCAUGGAGAGGUCAGUGGAAUUCCGAGUGUAGAGGUGAAAUUCGUAGAUAUUCGGAAGAACACCAGUGGCGAAGGCGGCUGACUGGACAUGUAUUGACGCUGAGGUGCGAAAGCGUGGGGAGGCAAACAGGAUUAGAUACCCUGGUAGUCCACGCCGUAAACGAUGAUAACUAGCUGUCCGGACACUUGGUGGUUUGGGUGGCGCAACUAACGCAUUAAGUUAUCCGCCUGGGAGUACGGGCCGAAGGGUUAAGACUUCAAAUGAAUUGACGGGGGCCUGCACAAGCGGUGGAGCAUGUGGGUUAAUUCGAAGCAACGCGCAGAACCUUACCAGCGUUUGACAUGGCAGGACGACUUCCAGAGAUGGAUUUCUUCCCUUCGGGGACCUGCACAUAGGUGCUGCAUGCCUGUCGUCAGCUCGUGUCGUAAGAUGUUGGGUUAAGUCCCGCAACGAGCGCAACCCUCGCCUUUAGUUGCCAUCAUUUAGUUGGGCACUUUAAAGGAACCGCCGGUGAUAAGCCGGAGGAAGGUGGGGAUGACGUCAAGUCCUCAUGGCCCUUACGCGCUGGGCUACACACGUGCUACAAUGUCGGUGACAGUGGGCAGCAAGCACGCGAGUGUGAGCUAAUCUCCAAAAACCGUCUCAGUUCGGAUUGUUCUCUGCAACUCGAGAGCAUGAAGGCGGAAUCGCUAGUAAUCGCGGAUCAGCAUGCCGCGGUGAAUACGUUCCCGGGCCUUGUACACACCG